This 31-nucleotide non-coding RNA is filed under the name Homo sapiens (human). Lineage: Eukaryota; Metazoa; Chordata; Mammalia; Primates; Hominidae. The record is from RNAcentral.
UAACGCCAAGGUCGCGGGUUCGAACCCCGUA